This 1996-nucleotide long non-coding RNA is filed under the name Sus scrofa (pig). Its description in RNAcentral is "lncRNA (ENSSSCG00030061612.1)". The record is from RNAcentral. Lineage: Eukaryota; Metazoa; Chordata; Mammalia; Artiodactyla; Suidae.
UGUGAUCUCAAAGAGAAAUUCAGAAGCAAACAGGUACUAAAGUGCGUCCUAGCCCCCGGGCAUCUGCUCUCAGAGAGAUGGCAGGAGCGGGACUCGAGUGGCCGAGUCCUUGGCAGACGCUCCAGAUGGGAAGGAAGCUGGAGGAGAGGCGCCCCCUUGUCUCUUUUCGGAGCGAGCCCUCCCACCUCCACCACCCCCAGCAUCCAGGUCCACUUGUUAGAGCGCCGCGGCUCUGCGCGAGAGCCGAGGCGAGGGGCCCUCUUUCAGAACCGGAGGAGUUGGCUGGAAAAAGUGUCGCCUGAGAAGCCUAUUGAGCCCUCGAAGGGCAGCGCCCCCAAGGCCCGCAGAAAGACAGAACUGAGAACAAGGCCGAUCUCCCAUCUCCCCCAGGUGGUCCAGAACCCCUGGCCCGGCGGUGACCGAGAGAAGAAGGCGCGCAGGUUCUGCCACCUCGGGCUGGACGCCCAGAGCGGACGCAGCCCGCCGCUCACGGCCAGGAGCCGCCUUCCGCCGCCUCAAGCCUCCGGGCUAAGUUCGCUGGGAGUCCUUGGGGUGGGAGGUGGGGGGCGAGGGGCCGAGAGCCAGAGGGAGGGAGGUGGGGGCCGGGAGCAACGCACCUACCUAGUCCAGGCGCAAGUUUCGGUGGCGUCCCCAGGUGCGGUCCCCCGCCCCCUCGCCAGGUGCUCAGCCCCGCCGGGCGCUGCCCGUGCCCGGGACCUCAGGCGUCUCAGCCGGUUCCUGCGGGAAACGACUGUAAAUCCACAUUACUGUUCGAGCUGCCGCUCGGGCCCCCGCAUCGCUCUCCUUCGGCUGGCGGCGGCAGUCCUCUCUGCUGGCAGCCGCCGAGGGCAGGGACCGAACCUGGCUACUACCGCGCCAGCAGAAGAUCGCUGCCGGGAGGGUGCUUGCGCCCAGGGUCGUACGUGUGUGCAAGAGUCUGUAUACGCGUGUGUGUCCGUGAAAGAGUGUGCGUGUGUGUGCGAGCAGAAGGGGUGAGCUCAGCCCCCGGGGCACUCGGAGGUGAACUCCGGGCUAAGCCGGAGUCCGCCGCGCUCCCGGGUGCGGGGCGUCUGCACCGCUGAUGGCUGUGCUGAUGUUGCCGUGGCCGCCGCCGCCGCGCUCUAAGGCUAGUCGCGGUGGUGCAAAAAAUGUUUCUCCGCUACUCGAGACCAAAAAACCUGCCCUGUCUACUGAGCAUGCCCGGUUUGACAGCUCCACAGCCAAGGUUUUUUUUUUUUUUUUUUUUUUUUUCCCCCCCCAAGACUCCAGGUUUUAGCCGCAGCUGAGACUGGGGGGAGGGGGAAAGCAGAUGGAGGAGGAGCAGAGGAGGAGGGCUGAGGGAGCAGGUAGCGGGCAAAGGAAAGGAAGUCAAGAUGAGAAAGAUCUGGGUGUUAGAAGGUGGAGAAAGGGAAGGAGAAAGCUAAGGGUGGGAGAGGAGGGAAAUAUGGAGCAACAAAAUUUACAUUUCGUACCACAAUGAGUUCUUGGCCAGGGGACUCUCAUGACCAGCUUCUAUUUUUUUUUCCGGAGGGUUAGGUGGGGCGGGGGGUUCGGAGGAAUGCUUGUCAUCCCCAAAUCAACCUGGGACAGUGUUUUAUAGUCAUGACAUACACAAACGCGCGCGCACACGCACACAUACAUACACACACACACACACACACACACAGGAGCGCGAUCGCUACCGCUAUGUAUAAAGUCUCAGGACUGACUUAAAAAGAAUGCGAAAUCUCUUGCCAGUAUAACUUUGGCAAAAAAAAAGGGGGGGGUAAGAGAGGGAAAAAUAGAAGAGAGAGAGAGAAAUUGUUUGGGUUCCUCCUUUCCCCCUCUCCCCCGCCUUGCAUAAAAGCCAAGCCCACGAGUGCGGUGCGUAAAAGACCCGCAAGCUUUCCAGCGUCCUUCACUGUGAGAGCACCGCUGCUUCCCGCUGACAGUGUGACCCCAGUGCACCAAGGCCGGCCACACGCAGCCUCCUGGCCGCGCAUCGGCUCAGCGCUGA